GCUCCCAGAGUCAAGGAUUGGAGUGACCUAACAGAUCACCGGUCCAGAUAAUACCAGAGGGGAAUGUUACAGGUUUAAAAAUUCAAUUUUUUUAAAUUAGCU
Chelonoidis abingdonii (Abingdon island giant tortoise) is the source of this 102-nucleotide non-coding RNA. Lineage: Eukaryota; Metazoa; Chordata; Testudines; Testudinidae. The record is from RefSeq and is a predicted model, not a curated record.